UCCGUUCCCUGUCCUCGUGCAGAUGAGCACUGACCAGAGCGAGCUGCUGCUCCAACGUCACUGUUUGUGGCGUCGGCCUUUCCGGUGGGUAACCUGCACUGGGCACGAGCAGCUGAUCACAAAUGGAGAACGACGCCUGCACAGUCCAUUUGCACAAACCUGAAUUGGACUUGCUCAACAUUCUCCCACAGGAGAAUGUGUCUCUGUGUUCUCCACAUCUAGAGCUCACUCAGUUGCCUUGGCUCAGGGUCCCUUCCUCCAUCUUUAAAGCCAGCAGAGCAGGUCUCCCCUUUGGAUACCCCCUAUUCCACGCCCUCUCCCUGCCUCUAUAAUGCCCCCACCCACCCACCUACCCACCCACUCCCAUUUCCCUACACUGGACACCCUCAGGGCCAAGGGCCUCACCUCCCACUGAUGUCCAACAAGGCCAUUCUCUGCCACAAAUGGGUCACUCCAUGUGUAUUCUUUGGUUGGUGGUCCAGUCCCCAGGAGCUCUGGGGAUAUUUUAAACAUAAAACUAAUAUUUUAUGAUAUAGGAACUCUCACUUUGAAUACUUUACUAUUUAUGAAAAUAUGCAUCAGAAAUUAAAAGACUUUUAACUUAGCUCAUGAAGCAUCCAUUUUGCAAGAGAGGAUCUGUUCUGGAUUCUUUCCACUGAAUAUAUCUCCAUCUUUUUACUUACUGCUUUUUCU
Apodemus sylvaticus (European woodmouse) is the source of this 693-nucleotide long non-coding RNA. RefSeq lists it as uncharacterized. NCBI's taxonomy places the organism in Eukaryota, Metazoa, Chordata, Mammalia, Rodentia, Muridae. The transcript has 3 exons. The record is from RefSeq and is a predicted model, not a curated record.